RNAcentral lists this transfer RNA (73 nucleotides) under Stegodyphus mimosarum. It matches the Rfam family "tRNA". From Rfam's summary of the family: Transfer RNA (tRNA) molecules are approximately 80 nucleotides in length. Their secondary structure includes four short double-helical elements and three loops (D, anti-codon, and T loops). Further hydrogen bonds mediate the characteristic L-shaped molecular structure. tRNAs have two regions of fundamental functional importance: the anti-codon, which is responsible for specific mRNA codon recognition, and the 3' end, to which the tRNAs corresponding amino acid is attached (by aminoacyl-tRNA synthetases). tRNAs cope with the degeneracy of the genetic code in two manners: having more than one tRNA (with a specific anti-codon) for a particular amino acid; and 'wobble' base-pairing, i.e. permitting non-standard base-pairing at the 3rd anti-codon position. The record is from Rfam by way of RNAcentral. Lineage: Eukaryota; Metazoa; Arthropoda; Arachnida; Araneae; Eresidae.
GCCUUUGUGGUGUAGUGGUCAUCACGCUCGGUGCGUAUUCAAGAGGUCUGUGGUUCGAGUCCCGGCGAGGCCA